GACGAACGCUUGCUUCUUUCUUAACACAUUCAAGUCGAACGUAAAGGCCCUGCUUUUGUGGGGUGCUCGAGUGGCGAACGGGUGAGUAACACGUGAGUAACCUGCCCUUGACUUUGGGAUAACUUCAGGAAACUGGGGCUAAUACCGGAUAGGAGCUCCUGCUGCAUGGUGGGGGUUGGAAAGUUUCGGCGGUUGGGGAUGGACUCGCGGCUUAUCAGCUUGUUGGUGGGGUAGUGGCUUACCAAGGCUUUGCCGGUUGGCCGGCCUGAGAGGGUGACCGGCCACAUUGGGACUGAGAUACGGCCCAGACUCCUACGGGAGGCAGCAGUGGGGAAUAUUGCACAAUGGGCGGAAGCCUGAUGCAGCAACGCCGCGUGCGGGAUGAAGGAAUUCGGGUUGUAAACCGCUUUCGCCUGUGACGAAGCGUGAGUGACGGUAAUGGGUAAAGAAGCAAAGGCUAAAUACGGG
RNAcentral lists this ribosomal RNA (468 nucleotides) under uncultured bacterium. Its description in RNAcentral is "partial 16S ribosomal RNA". It matches the Rfam family "Bacterial small subunit ribosomal RNA", at positions 28 to 507 of the family's 1533-position model. The record is from RNAcentral.